UGUGACGGCUUCCUGAAGACUUUGAAAACUAAACAAAAGCAGGCAAAAUAGGAGAGGAAACCAGACCUUGAAGUGGGAUUGAUUCUGGUGGUCAAUUUCUAGGAGUGGAAUGGCUUGAUCAUAUACUGAAACCCGAGACCCUGCUUCAAACAUGGUUAGCCUGUUAAAGGUGUUGAAGACACAGUCGUGUCAUUUUUAAAAGACACUUAUUCUUUAAAGAAGAGAGGUAGAGGUCAGUGACUCAUCAGUCUUAAGAAAUACCCAGUGUAUUUCAAAAACAAUUUACUGUAUGUAAUUCGAGCUAAAACCAAAAGCUCCUAGAAGGAAACGAACAGGUAAAUCUUCAUGAUCUUGGCAUCAGCUGCGAAAAAUAGAGAGAUUGGAAUUCCAUCAAUAUUAAAAUCUCUUGUGCAUCAGAGACUAUUCUCAAGAAAGCCAAAGGACAGCCUAUGGAAUGGGGUAUGUCCUCCACAGGAAUACAUACAUAAGCUCAUCACAGAAUUCUUCACAGCAACAUGAGUCCUCAUAACUCAAAACUGAAAACCAAAUGUCUGUCAACAGAAACAUAGAUAAAUAACCAUAAUGACAUGUAACAAUGGGGAAGAUUGAACUGUAGCUGCGUACAAAUCAUGGGUGAAUUGUAU
Long non-coding RNA from Lutra lutra (Eurasian river otter), 644 nucleotides. RefSeq lists it as uncharacterized. Lineage: Eukaryota; Metazoa; Chordata; Mammalia; Carnivora; Mustelidae. The record is from RefSeq and is a predicted model, not a curated record. The transcript is spliced from 5 exons.